Molecule: transfer RNA, 121 nt
Filed under: Histoplasma ohiense
Lineage: Eukaryota; Fungi; Ascomycota; Eurotiomycetes; Onygenales; Ajellomycetaceae
Description: tRNA-Val
Source: RNAcentral
GGCUGGAUGGUGUAGUUGGUUAUCACGUAUCGCUCACAUAAUCGGCCAACUGUCGCAAGCGACGUUGACUCAUCGCCGAAAUGUGCCGAUAAGGUCCUGGGAUCGAACCCCAGUCUAGUCA